RNAcentral lists this ribosomal RNA (468 nucleotides) under uncultured bacterium. RNAcentral describes it as "partial 16S ribosomal RNA". It matches the Rfam family "Bacterial small subunit ribosomal RNA", at positions 28 to 507 of the family's 1533-position model. The record is from RNAcentral.
GACGAACGCUGGCGGCGUGCUUAACACAUGCAAGUCGAACGGAAAGGCCCUGCUUUUGUGGGGUGCUCGAGUGGCGAACGGGUGAGUAACAAGUGAGUAACCUGCCUUUGACUUUGGGAUAACUUCAGGAAACUGGGGCUAAUACCGGAUAGGAGCUCCUGCUGCAUGGUGGGGGUUGGAAAGUUUCGGCGGUUGGGGAUGGACUCGCGGCUUAUCAGCUUGUUGGUGGGGUAGUGGCUUACCAAGGCUUUGACGGGUAGCCGGCCUGAGAGGGUGACCGGCCACAUUGGGACUGAGAUACGGCCCAGACUCCUACGGGAGGCAGCAGUGGGGAAUAUUGCACAAUGGGCGGAAGCCUGAUGCAGCAACGCCGCGUGCGGGAUGACGGCCUUCGGGUUGUAAACCGCUUUCGCCUGUGACGAAGCGUGAGUGACGGUAAUGGGUAAAGAAGCACCGGCUAACUACGUG